AGUGGAGCGAUUUACUUCGGUAAAGGGCGGCGGACGGGUGAGUAACGCGUGGGUAACCUACCCUGGACACACGGAUAACAUACCGAAAGGUAUGCUAAUACGGGAUAAUAGAUUUGGGAGGCAUCUCUUAAAUAUCAAAGGUGAGCUAGUACAGGAUGGACCCGCGUCUGAUUAGCUAGUUGGUAAGGUAACGGCUUACCAAGGCGACGAUCAGUAGCCGACCUGAGAGGGUGAUCGGCCACAUUGGAACUGAGACACGGUCCAAACUCCUCCGGGAGGCAGCCGUGGGGAAUAUUGCACAAUGGGCGAAAGCCUGAUGCAGCAACGCCGCGUGAGUGAUGACGGCCUUCGGGUCGUAACACUCUGUCCUCAAGGACGAUAAUGACGGUACUUGAGGAGGAAGCCCCGGCUACCUACGUGCCAGCAGCCGCGCUACUACGCCGGGGGCUGCCGUUAGCCGGAUUUACUGGGCGGAAAGGGUGCGUAG
RNAcentral lists this ribosomal RNA (487 nucleotides) under Clostridioides difficile. Its description in RNAcentral is "bacterial SSU rRNA". It matches the Rfam family "Bacterial small subunit ribosomal RNA", at positions 60 to 574 of the family's 1533-position model. The record is from RNAcentral. Lineage: Bacteria; Bacillati; Bacillota; Clostridia; Peptostreptococcales; Peptostreptococcaceae.